GGGGGCCCUUCGGGUUGUAAACCGCUUUUGUCAGGGAAGAAACGCUCUGGGCUAAUACCUUGGGCUAAUGACGGUACCUGAAGAAUAAGCACCGGCUAACUACGUGCCAGCAGCCGCGGUAAUACGUAGGGUGCAAGCGUUAAUCGGAAUUACUGGGCGUAAAGCGUGCGCAGGCGGCUUUGUAAGACAGAUGUGAAAUCCCCGGGCUCAACCUGGGAACUGCCUUUGUGACUGCAAGGCUUGAGUGCGGCAGAGGGGGAUGGAAUUCCGCGUGUAGCAGUGAAAUGCGUAGAUAUGCGGAGGAACACCGAUGGCGAAGGCAAUCCCCUGGGCCUGNACUGACGCUCAUGCACGAAAGCGUGGGGAGCAAACAGGAUUAGAUACCCUGGUAGUCCACGCCCUAAACGAUGUCAACUGGUUGUUGGGAAGGUUCCUUCUCAGUAACGUAGCUAACGCGUGAAGUUGACCGCCUGGGGAGUACGGCCGCAAGGUUGAAACUCAAAGGAUUUGACGG
RNAcentral lists this ribosomal RNA (514 nucleotides) under uncultured bacterium. RNAcentral's name for it is "bacterial SSU rRNA". It matches the Rfam family "Bacterial small subunit ribosomal RNA", at positions 410 to 916 of the family's 1533-position model. The record is from RNAcentral.